UACUAGAGUAGCACUCGCAUAUCAAUAAGCGGAGGAAAAGAAACUAACAAGGAUUCCCCUAGUAACGGCGAGUGAAGCGGGAAGAGCUCAAAUUUGAAAUCUUAAAGGGUUUCCCUUUACGAAUUGUAGUUUAAAGAAGUGUUUUCUGUUGAGGUUUUGGUAAAAGUUCUUUGGAAUAGGACAUCAUAGAGGGUGAGAAUCCCGUAUUUGACCUUUACUUUCAACUUUGUGAUACACUUUCAAAGAGUCGGAUUGUUUGGGAAUGCAGUCCAAAAUGGGUGGUAAAUUUCAUCUAAAGCUAAAUAUUGGCGAGAGACCGAUAGCGAACAAGUACCGUGAGGGAAAGAUGAAAAGAACUUUGAAAAGAGAGUUAAACAGUACGUGAAAUUGUCAAAAGGGAAGCGUUUGACACCAGUGUUGUUUUUCUGAAAAUCAAUUAAAGAACUGUUUAUGCUAAGCUGUUUAGACUUUAUCAGCUAUCUGUUUAGUUUUAGGCUUUUCUUUAAUGCACUUUUCAGUUAACAAGUCAACAUCAAUUUCUUUUGCUGUAAAAAAGCUUGAGGAAGGUGGCUUGAGAUUCGUCUUAAGUGUUUAUAGCCUCUUGCCUAUGCAGUCGGGGAGAUUGAGGUCUGCAGCGUAGAUCCUUCGGGGCUAAAUGCAUUUGUGCUAAGUUAUAGCAUUUUAUAGACAACUUGUUGACUAUGAUUUGUCUUGUAGCUUACUCGCUUAUGUUAUUUUACCUACGCUUAGGAUGUUGAGCGCAUGUCUCUCUCU
Molecule: ribosomal RNA, 774 nt
Filed under: uncultured Neocallimastigales
Lineage: Eukaryota; Fungi; Neocallimastigomycota; Neocallimastigomycetes; Neocallimastigales
Description: partial large subunit ribosomal RNA
Rfam family: Eukaryotic large subunit ribosomal RNA
Source: RNAcentral